UAGACUACCACGUUGAUAGGCUGGGUGUGUAAGUGCGGUGACGUAUUUAGCUAACCAGUACUAAUUGACCGUGAGCCUUGACCCC
This is a non-coding RNA of Nitrospira bacterium SG8_35_4, 85 nucleotides long. The record is from Rfam. NCBI's taxonomy places the organism in Bacteria, Pseudomonadati, Nitrospirota, Nitrospiria.